This 198-nucleotide ribosomal RNA is filed under the name uncultured bacterium. RNAcentral's name for it is "partial 16S ribosomal RNA". It matches the Rfam family "Bacterial small subunit ribosomal RNA", at positions 328 to 539 of the family's 1533-position model. The record is from RNAcentral.
ACGCUCGACACCUACGGGGGCAGCAGUCGGGAAUAUUGCGCAAUGGAGGAAACUCUGACGCAGUGACGCCGCGUGCAGGAAGAAGGUUUUCGGAUUGUAAACUGCUUUAGACAGGGAAGAAAAAGGACAGUACCUGUAGAAUAAGCUCCGGCUAACUACGUGCCUGCAGCCGCGGUAAUCUGAGCGGGCUGGCAAGGC